RNAcentral lists this long non-coding RNA (256 nucleotides) under Homo sapiens (human). RNAcentral describes it as "non-protein coding lnc-KRT18-4:1". The record is from RNAcentral. Lineage: Eukaryota; Metazoa; Chordata; Mammalia; Primates; Hominidae.
AAAUCACUGAACCAAGGUACAUUUGUCUGCCAGACCUUCCCCAUCAUGACCCGCUGCCUUGGCUCAGGAUCGAGGUGGACAAUGCCAGCGAAACAGACCAGGAAAUCCCAGCACAAGUGUUGCUCCCAUCCAUCUGGAGGCAAGGGCAAGGUUCAGGGCAUGCCUAUGGGCAACAGGUCAAAUUCCACAUUCCCAGAGCUUGGUGACCUGGUGACCACCCUCCUCAUUGUCCACCCCAAAUUGAGCUUCUUCACUC